Molecule: ribosomal RNA, 250 nt
Filed under: uncultured bacterium
Lineage: Bacteria
Description: partial 16S ribosomal RNA
Rfam family: Bacterial small subunit ribosomal RNA
Source: RNAcentral
UACAGAGGGUGCGAGCGUUAAUCGGAAUUACUGGGCGUAAAGCGCGCGUAGGCGGUUAUUUAAGUUGGACGUGAAAUCCCUGAGCUUAACUUAGGAAUGGCGUUCAAAACUGGAUAGCUAGAGUGGAGUAGAGGUGAGUGGAAUUUCCGGAGUAGCGGUGAAAUGCGUAGAUACCGGAGGGAACACCAGUGGCGAAGGCGACUCACUGGACUCUUACUGACGCUGAGGUGCGAAAGCGUGGGGAGCAAAC